Molecule: long non-coding RNA, 3199 nt
Organism: Brassica rapa (field mustard)
Lineage: Eukaryota; Viridiplantae; Streptophyta; Magnoliopsida; Brassicales; Brassicaceae
Source: RefSeq, a predicted model, not a curated record
CACUAAAGAUUUUAGAGAAAUUGGGGCGAAUUUUAGUCCCUACCAGUCUAGCUUCCUAUAUAUAUCAAGUUAUCAACUAAAGAUAUCACCUAAGAUAUGGUGUCAGAACUAAUAUCCACUCUCAUAUCUUCAGCACAUUAUUUAUUUAUUACAAUGUUUUUUUAACCAAAACUAAUACUUCAUGUGGUUUUGUUCUGGCCGUGCAAAAUAGAAAAAGACAUGUAAUUAAUUUUGAUUUUCUUCAUUAUAUUUUUGAAAACAUUAACUUUGACGUUAGCUCCUCCUACCUCCGACGCGCCUCCGCUGCCUUCACCGAACUAAAAAAGCUUCAACCGUGUGAGACUAAAUAAACGAAGCCAAGAUUCAGAGGCAAGGCGUGAGCGGAAGGAGCUGGGUCGAGCUAAAUGGGUGGUUGAUGAUUUGGUGGUAAACGGAGAGAAGAUUCGUUCCCGGGAAAAGUGAAACUCUGGUCGGAAACAGAAUGAGAUAAAUGAUGAAUAAACGAAGAGAAGCAGUAUACCAUUGCAAGAAGAACAAAGAAGAAGAUGUCAUUGGCCAGAAGGUGAAUUCAAGUUGGAACCAGAGCAAAGUAGUGAAGACAAGGAAGAGCGAUGGAGAGAUUGGUUUGAGGAGAGGAAGAUAAAUUAAAAGAGGAAAUCAAACGAGAUUUAAGGUCAAAGUUGGCUACUUUUUAGGAUUUUACCUGACAAUUUUCUAGUGGAGUUUUCAAAGUUUUGGGCAUGUCCCUUAGCGACACUUAACAAUAUGAAAUAUUUUGAUUGUGAGAACUCUCUGUUAUAGUUUUCACUGUCUGUUUUGGUAGUCUGAUACUGCCCUCUUAACCGCUACUCUGUUUGGAUAAUUAUUGAAUGCAAAGUUGCAACCUUCAAGUAGUGUUUAGACUUUGGAUCUUGAAGAUGAGCACUCGAAAAAAGCGUUAGCAUUUACUCUAGUUUAGCGUAUUGAAAUUGUGGAAUAAAGUAGAAAUGUUUUAUGUGAACUCAAUUUUGUUUAGGCAUUUGAGAGUCUGAUGCUUUGUAUCAAGGAAGGACUUCCUGCUUCUGUUUAACUAAACUUGCGCAAAUAUAGAUGAUCCUCAGAUUAUCUGGUAUGUAAGUCUUACAUGCUUUUUGUCUAUUACAAUGGUUCUUUGCUCUAUUUCAUAAACUACCAGAACAAACAUAUAUGUUAGUGCAUGAUUCAUUAGUUGCUUAUGAUUCAGCUUCAUACUUAUUGAUAAGUAGGCUACUAUUGAGCUUACCAUAUAAUGAGCUUACCUCUGAUGCUAGCUGAGGAAGACUAAAGCGCGUACAUAUAGGAAAAUCUCAAAAAUCUGUGGAAAUCGUCCUUCCCAUGAACUUGUGAAAGAGUCAUGUUGUUAACUGCUAUACAAUCUGGCCUUCACAGGUAUUUUUUACUGCAACUCGUGUCCACUUUCUCUUGCAGAAUUUGGUGUUGUAUCAUUGUUUACAUGGACCAUCUGAUUCAAAUGGUUUGUGCGUUAUCUUCAACAGUUAGUUGUUACAGAGAUUGUGAUAAUAACUACAGUAGAAAACAGAGCGUUGCAGCAGUAAAUAAUUGACCUCGUGUCAAAUUAUUGAACAGGAAUUGACCUCAUGUCAAACUGAUAAUUGGCCGGGAGAAAAAAAAUGCGUCAAGCUUGGAAGAAAGAAGAGACAGGAAACAAAAAGAAAAAAGGACAUGAAUCAUGAAGCAUAAAUUAUCAGCAUUUGGGCAAGUCCACAGGAGGAGGAAGAAGUUUCUGAUCAGGCUUAUCUCCAUCAAGAACAAGCCAAGCCAUCCUCAAACCCCAACUGGAUCAGGAAGAAGAAAAAGACAAGAGAGAACAACAGCAAAGAAAAGCCAAACCGCCAUUUCUUUUUUUUUAAGGGAGCUUGGAGACUUGGACCUUGAGGCGUUGAUUAAAGCUGGUGGGAACUUUUUAAGAAGAUUAACCGAUGUUGGAGUUAGUCAAAACAUUAGUACGCUAAAAUUGCUUGGGGAAUAAGCAAAGGGAGGGAGAUUGUAGCUAUCAGAGAAAGGUCACGCUUAGGGUUAGAUGUCAAAAUCCAUGAAGGCUAUUGUCAACAUGUCGUGGUUUACAAAAACAUUGAGAAAAUCUCAAACUAAGGUUCGCAAUUUUAUUUCCCAAGCAAGUGACCUAACUUCUUUCUAAGUUCGUAUCCUCAAAGCCAUGCCACUUAUACAUGCUUCUCUUUAUACAAAUAUUUGUUUUUGCACUAAUAAUAUAUGGGAUUUGUUUGCUUGUUAUCCGUCUUUCAUAUUUAUAAUCUUAAUGAAAUUUAAAGUCAAUCUACAAUCAAAAUAUGAUGUAGACAAGAUUGCUAACAAGUAGGUAUCAGAUUAUCCCUAACUAUCCGAAGUCGGUAAUUAAGAUAUAUGAUUUUUUCUUUAAUAACGUUAGUUCUAGAAAGAAAAGAAAACAAUAAAUAAUUUUAUAAAUUGAUUAAGUGGUUGAAUGACACAACGAUGAAUCAGAAGUUCACAUCAUAGUAUGUAGUUCAAAACCAUUAGUAUGUCUUUAACAAUAUUUUAGUUGGUAACUCACAAUCAGUAGUAGUAAAUAUAGUUAUAGAUAUAUUAACUAGGCAUGUUUAUGUUCCGUGACACGAGAGCUUUAUUAUAAUACAUACAUGAUUAUUCCAAACAUUAUUUGAAAACGAAGUACUAUUAUAUCUUAAAUGUUCCACUGUAGUUCUAAAACAUAUAUGACCUUUUAGGUAUUCAGACAUCAAACCAAUUUCGACGAUCUCUAGUUUAGACACUGAUACAUACUUCAAUCUCACCAUCUAAAUAUCGACAUUAAGUUGAAACCUGAAUUAACUUUUGAUAUAAAGACAUUGUAUAUGAAUUGUGUGAAAUACAUGUAGUCUAGUGGCGAGCUUGAUAAGCAAUCUGAGUUUGAAAAUACUCCACUACAUUUUUCGUGUGGCCACAUGGAUAUAGAGACCUAUUGUUUAUGCAUCAUUUGAAUAUUCGGAGAGAUAGUCCAUCUCUAAACUGUUACAUCUCUUAAAUUAUUAGUUUGAGAAAUUUCAUAGGCAUGAAAUAUCUUCGUAUUAAUAGAAAAAAUGAAUUGUCUAAAUAACAAAUGAAUACAUACUAAAUCAGUUGGUGAUCUCUACUAACAAGAUGAAAUUAUUGGACUUGAACUCAGACUUAGAUAUGAUAAAAAAAA